CCCACAUGAUUGUGUGUGGGCUGAGGGUGAAUCCAAGAAGGACUUUGUGUUGUGGUCAGUACAGGCUUUGGUCCAGGAGAGACAACAAUACUUUCAGUACUCUUUGGUUCUGCCCCAGAGGAGCUCAACACAGAGAAUUGCCUGGAACAAGAAACUGGUGAGAGAAGCUGCAGCCUGUUGAGACUCCACAAGAUGAAAGAUAUGAAAAGAGGACAUAUGCAUGAAUGCCUGCAUGGAGAACCACCCUUGCUGCUGCUCCCACUCUAAUGAUCAUGCCCAUUAUUAACUGAGGGAUGGCUGUGGGCCUUGUCUUUGCAUUACACGGACCAAGAACACUUCGCAGGACUCAGAGAGUAACACUGAACAAUGCAGUUUACUUACAUCUUUUUCUGUUUGACACAAGACAGUUAUUGGUUACCCUUGGGACAUCAAAAUGAUCAAGGCAGUAGAUACAGUGAGUAUCUGCUAAGUAUUUGCUGAGACUCUGGUAUGAUUCGUGUAAGUCUCAGGAUAGUUAUCUGAAUGAUGUCCCCAUGGCAGUGGACUCCUGCACAUUCACAGUCCUGGAAGGAGCCUGUCCACAUUGGCAUUCUGGAAGUCCAUAAAAGACAAACGCAUAUGCAGUCCCCGAGAAAGCAUUGUUGUAAACAAAUCUGCACUAGAUGGAAAUUCUUGUUAUGCGGUGCUGGCAUGCAUGGAAGCGAACCUGAAAGGAAGUAGCGUGUACGACUGGGGACACGUUUCCUGGAAGCACACCCCAUUAGAUAAAGUGUCGUAUACUCUUUGAUAAAGUAAGGCUCCUGGACGAGAUGUUUUACGGGUACCCUGAGCUCAGUGAAAUGCUUUCGGAAAGACACUCAGCAGAGUGGGCACCACAAGGUUAGGAGAAGCAGCUUCUGCUCGUCAUAACUUCGGCAAAUGUUUACACAUCAGUAAUGAAAAAUAUUCUCUUGGCGAUUUCAGGCUUGUUACUAUGGAUGUUGUUUGCUAACAUUGACUAUUUUUCCUAACUGCUUAUAGAAACUCCAGGCUGUCACCCAUCUGUUCUCUCAUCAGAGUAGUUUUGGGCCAGCAACUAUUUCAGACAUUUCUACAAUUUCAGAUGUCUCACUCUGCCUAUGACUGUAUGUUGUACUUGAGGACCGGACGCACAGAGUUCCGUGCAAAUAGCAAGCAUUCAGCUCCAACUCUCCUCCUUGUGGUAACAAUAUGAAAGAAAGAGAUAGUAUCGGAAUUAUUUUCGUUCAAUACAGCCAUUGUAAAAUGUGUGUAUAUU
Macaca mulatta (Rhesus monkey) is the source of this 1276-nucleotide non-coding RNA. Lineage: Eukaryota; Metazoa; Chordata; Mammalia; Primates; Cercopithecidae. The record is from RefSeq and is a predicted model, not a curated record.